Molecule: long non-coding RNA, 3989 nt
Filed under: Sus scrofa (pig)
Lineage: Eukaryota; Metazoa; Chordata; Mammalia; Artiodactyla; Suidae
Description: lncRNA (ENSSSCG00065037883.1)
Source: RNAcentral
AGCUGUGGUGUAGGUCGAAAAUGUGGCUCAGAUCCUGAGUUGCUAUGGCUGUAGGCUAGCAGCUAUAGCUCUGAUUCAACCCCUAGCCUGGGAACUUCCAUAUGCCGUGGGUGUGACCCUGAAAAGCAAAGAAAGUAAGUAAAUAAAUAAAUACAUAAAUGAAAAGUUGAUAAGAGUGAUAAGAGUGGCUGACUUCCCAUGCAGCUCAGCAGAUUUAGGAUCUGGGGGCACAGCCAAAAACAAAAAUCAAAACAAAACAAAAAGCAGGUAAGAGAACCUGAAUGACCCACUGGAGAAUUAAACUAUUCAGAUAAAAACAUAGUCAAUAAUUUAAAUUUCCUUAAAAAAUCAUAUUCCAUUCCUAAUAAUGCAAUCUAAAGCCAUUAGGUGGAGCACGGCAAGGAUGGCAUCUGCAGUGGUGUUGGGGGACAUCCUGGUGGCCCAGAGUGGGAUAAUGCAGUUCAAGUGGGGUCAAGAGAACAUCCUACAGAGGAGAGGGUGGCCUGGUAUAGGGUGUCAGACCCCAAGCAAGGUAAGGAGGGUAAACCACUUACCUGGGGCAGCCUGGCCCUGGAAAGUCAGAGCCUGAGCUCAGAGCUCCUGAGGAAGGUGAAGGGGUGAGGGUUGGGGGGGGUUGGUGACACAAGGAAAACCUGGAAAGAGGAUUAUAGAGCCCAGCACAGAAGGGCAGGAAUCUCAGCAGAUGGGGGAGUGAGGCAAGGAUUAGAGAGUGUUUGCAUACAAGGGUGUGAUAUUGUGAUUUACAAUAAGAAGUAUGAGAGUUCCCAUUAUGGCUCAAUGGGUUAAGGACCUAACAUUGUCUCUCUUAGGAUGUGGUUCAAUCCCUGGCCUCGCUUAGUGGGUUAUAGGGAUCCAGCAUUGCUGCAAGCUAUGUUGUAGUUCACAUAUUUGGCUCAGAUCUGGCAUUGCUGUGUCUGUAACAUAGGCCUCAGCUGCCGCUCCAAUUCAUCCCUGGCCUGGGAAUUUCCACAUGCUGCAGGUGUGGCCAUAAAUGGAGAAAAAAAAAAAAAAAGAAAUAUGUAUUUCAUCUUCUAGUUUCUGCCACAGAGUUCCUAAAACCGUUGGAAUUUCCUGAGCCGAAGAGGAUAAAGGUGAGUUUUCAUUGUGUUAAUGAGGUGACUUUGGGAACGUUGCCAGGAGAACCCACUUAUCGUGAUUAGAGAUGGAACAUUCAGUCCCGCCUCUCUGACUUAAGGGGAGGGAAGAGGUUGAACCAAUAACCAAUGACCAACCAUUUGACCAAUCAUGUCUUUGUAAUGAAACCUCCAUAAAAGCCCAAAAGGACGGCAUUCAGAGAGCUUCUGGGUUGGUGAACACGUGCAGAUUGGCGGAGGGUGGAGUGGUCAUUGAGGGCAUGGAUCCUCUGAACCCUUUCUCCACACCUUGCCCUGUGCCUCUCUUCCAUCUGGCUGUUCCUGGGUUAUAUCUUUUUAUAAACUUGGUAAGUAAAUUGUUUCUAUGGGCAGCUCUAGCACAUUGAUGGACCCCAAGGAAGAGGCUGUUGAAACUUCCAAUCUAUAGCUGGUUGGUCAGAAUCAGAUGUGACUCCUGGCCUUGAGAUGGGUGUCAGGAAUGUGGGGGUGGGUGGGGAGGGGGCGGCCGUUGUGUAAGAUGGAACUUUUAACCUGAGGGAUUUGGCAAUUUUUCCAGGUAGUAUCAGAAUUGAGUUGAAUUAGGACACCCAGAUGGUAUCAGAGAAUUGCUUGGUAGUGUGGGAAAACCCUGCAGCCACUGGAACUGGUUAAAGGGGGUUGAUCAAAAGUAGUGGUCUUAUUAAGGAGAAGGAGGAAGUUCCCACGUGGUGCAGUGGGGUAUGGAUCUGGCAUUGCCACAGCUGUCACAACUGUAGUGAGGGCCAAUCCCUGGCCACAUGCUGUGGGUGCGGCAAAAAAAUAUAAAUAAAUAAAUAAUGAAAGACUAGAUUCUCAUUGUUGGAAAGAGUUAUAAAUACAGAAAAUGGGAGACAAAAAUCUGGAAUGACCACUGUAGUAUUGAAUUAGAAUUGGAAAUAUCUGUACAAACUCAGUUUUCAAGAUAGAUUUAGAUAGGCAAUAGGUAGAUAGCUAGCUAGAUACCUAGAUAGAUGGAUUUCCCCUAAGAGAGCCCGCAGAAAGAGUCUGGGACUAGCAGACUAAGAAAAUCACACCUUCUGCCCAGAUCUUGUCCUCUAAAUACCAUUUUCUACCACAGAGAAUGAAAGAUGCUUGGAAAACUGGCUAAUUCCAGAGAUGAGGCAGGGAAAAUACAAGGUGAGCCUGGAACAGCUCGCGCUAAUAAACAAGGCUGUGCUCAAUGCUGGAGGCAUAGCAAAAGGACACAGAGGCCAGAUGUGAGGGGCUUCCAGUGGCCAAACGGGAGCCAAUUUAAGCAUAAAAAUAAACCAGAAUAAUGAACUAUACCCCUUUGAAUAAAAUAGGAGCCCAUACAGAUAUAAACACAUAAACCGAAAGUUUGGUGAGGAAUGAGAUACUUAGAUGAUUUUAAAAGAUCUUCCCCUCUCGAGUGUUCACUUAUGACAGAGGCAAAGGAUAACUCUAGAGCUAAGAAGCCUGGCAGACACCACUUAAAUCAAGUGACCAACAUCAUUAAUGGGACAAAUCUAAAUCGUAUGCCACAUGAUAGGAUGGGAUGAGAAGAACACAGCAUCACCCCUGUGAUAUUCCUGCCAAAGAUGCAUGACCUGAAUCUAAUUGUGAGACGAUAUCAAGGCAAAACUGAGGGUCAUUCUACAAAAUAAUGUUCUGAAAUCUCGGCUGCCUCUGUACACUGGUGCUGAAUAGAAUUAUGGAGUUUCUGCUGUGGCAGAGUGGGUUAAGAUGCUGACUGCAGCAGCUCAGGUCACCUCAGAGGUGCAGCCUCCAUCCCCAGCCCAGUUCAGCGGGUUAAGGAUCUGGCAUUGCCACAGCUGUGGUGUGGGUUGCAACUGCAGCUCAGAUUCAAUCCCUGGCCUAGGAUUGUCCAUGUGCCGUGGAAGGGAGGAAAGAAAAAUGAAGGAAGAAAGGAAAAGGAAGAAAGAAAGAGAAAGAGAAAGAGAGAAAGAUAGGGAGACAGAGUUUUGGAAGUAACAGAGUAGCUAUUUCUUUGCCAGGCAAAGAGGGAACACAGCAGGCCUCAACGUCGGUGGGCCCCCCCGGGGUAGAGAGGAGUCUUAUAGAGUCAAGGAGCAAGGUGUGAUCAGCUCGUGGACAUUCUUCUGAUUGGUUGGCGGUGAGGUAAUUGGGAGCCGGCAUCAUCCCCCUUAUGGUUCCAACCCAUCUGAGGCCUACAUUCCUCUGGGCAGCCUACAGCUAACUUCUUCCAUCCAGUGGGGGCUUCAGCACCUGCAAAACAGCUCCAAAGACAUGACUCAUUCUAUCUAUAGUCCUUGAAGAAGAAGGAAAAGUCCUUGACCUUGUUAAAUGGCUAAACUAUUAUUACUUAGUCUGGCUUAACUCUUUUCCUUUUUCUCUGUACUUUCUCACUUCUCUGGUUAAAUUGAUUCUUUGACUAGAGUUUUUCUAUAGACAAAAAGGCAGGUGGAGGACCUGAGUGGGGGUCUAUACUGGAAAGACCUCAAGAGUCCUGCUCAGUUACAACUAGCCUGGAAUUUUUCAAACAUGCUGAGGCAUAAAAGUUAAAACUGAGUAGUCAUACCAGGUGAAGACUAAAGAAAAUGGCAAUUAAAUGCAAUGCAUGAUCCCGGAUUGAAUUCUUUCACUAUAAAAGACAUUACAAGAAGUUCCCGUUGUAGCUCAGUGGUUAACGAACCUGACUAGGAACCAUGAGGAUGUGGGUUCGAUCCACUGAGGUAGGUUAAGGAACCGGCACUGCCAUGAGCUAUGGUGUAGGUUGCAGAUGUGGCUCGGAUCCUGUGUUGCUCUGGCUGUGGUGUAGGCCAGCAGCUGCAGCUCUGAUUGAACCUCUAUCCUGGGAACUUCCAUAUGCCACGGGUGCGGCCCUAAAAAAGACAAAAGACAAAAAAAAAAAAA